GAACGACUCUCGGCAACGGAUAUCUCGGCUCUUGCAUCGAUGAAGAACGUAGCGAAAUGCGAUACUUGGUGUGAAUUGCAGAAUCCCGUGAACCAUCGAGUCUUUGAACGCAAGUUGCGCCUGAAGCCAUUAGGUUGAAGGCACCGUCUGCCUGGGCGUCA
This 161-nucleotide ribosomal RNA is filed under the name Leucothoe fontanesiana (highland doghobble). RNAcentral describes it as "5.8S ribosomal RNA". It matches the Rfam family "5.8S ribosomal RNA". Rfam says of the family: 5.8S ribosomal RNA (5.8S rRNA) is a component of the large subunit of the eukaryotic ribosome. It is transcribed by RNA polymerase I as part of the 45S precursor that also contains 18S and 28S rRNA. Functionally, it is thought that 5.8S rRNA may be involved in ribosome translocation. Lineage: Eukaryota; Viridiplantae; Streptophyta; Magnoliopsida; Ericales; Ericaceae. The record is from RNAcentral.